UGAAUGGCCCAGUCCAGUCAUUGAAAGUGAGCAGAGGUGUGGCCGUGGGACUCUAAGCUGGCACACACUUUGUCUCCACUGAAGUUCUGGCCUCUGGACGCUAACUGCUACAGCCCCUGCCCAGAGCUGUAACUUUUCAAGGAUGUGUUCCUGGAAUGUUUGCUCGAAAUCAGGUCAGAGGUCUUCCACCAGAGAGAGACCAUGCCACUGAUCUAGCUGGGCAAGGAUUUCAAGAACACUAAGAAGCAAAACAUGAACUUUUGUACAUUCCCCACUGUCACAGGAAGCAGAGUCGACCACAGAUACUGUAUUUUCUAGAACUUUCUUAAGAACCAUUUGCAGAAGUAGUUGAUGUUGUGCAUGGGGACUGGACUGUUUGUGAGACUGAGGAAGCAAAGGACGGCUAAUUUCCUGGGGUGAGUCACGGCUGUAACCCCCUUUUACUGUAUUAAUAGAACGGAGGGGGGAAUUUUCCAGGAAACAUGUAUUACCACAAAGACCAAAAUAGAAAAGGGUGGCGGGUGACUUAAUCACUAAACAGAGAGGACUGGUCCCCUAUCUUUAUCAGAAUAAGAAAACAAUAAAUCAAACCAACACAUUCUGAAAUGUGUUAACAUCUUCACAGUUCUGUUUUAAUACCAUACAAGAUUUUGUAUUAGCAAAAACUCCAUGAAAACUCUAGGCUGAUUACAGAUGAUCAAACUCUCUGAAGAGUUAAAUAGACCUUCUCGAACUACUCCAAGGUUCAUUCCUUGCUUGGAGCCUAAAAUUAACAAUGUAUACCAGCUGUGUGCCAGAAUCCUGGUCUUCAAGAACCAAAUAGCUGACAAGGAAGUCGCAGCUCUAAUGAAGCCUGAUCUCCACUGCCUGCCGCAGCAGUUCUUUUCAUCUUGCUUCUGGGGGAUUCCAAAAUGACAGCCCAAACACUAGCUCUGAUGGCAGCCUCAGGACCCUAACUAUGGUGAGUCCGAGAAACAUCAACACCUAGAAGCCUCCGCUCUGGCUCCUGCCUUUCCUUGUCUCCUAUCUGGAAGGAAGCACUGUGGCCAUGAUAAAGACCAGCCUGGGGAUGAAGAAUUGAUGCAGCCAUUAAGUGUUCUUACUCCUCUGUGUUGGAGAACAAGUUUGGUGCCCAUCAUCCACAGUGGAAGGCUCACAACUGUCUGUAGCCCCAACUCCAGAAAAAUCUUGACUUUUUCUGGACUCUGAGGUUACAAGCACUCACAGGUGCACACAUUAAAAAGGUAAGCCUUUAAGAAAACUGUAGGCAUGUAUUUUUUUUGAUGAGCAAAGAAAUAUUUAAAAAAAAUAAGGUGUGGGUUUAUUUCAGUAAAUUUGCUUUAUUGAUCUUAUAAAAACUCGUGGAAAAUUUUCAAAUUUAUUGACCGUUCUCAAAGAAAAAGGAUCCAAGAUAGGCUUAGGCAACUGAAACGUUCAAGGAAACAGCAGGUUUUCCUAGUUGCAGAGGCUUUUCUUUCUAACAGCUACAUGAGUGUGUAUCACUUACCCUGCCCGCCAGAAGCAGGCGCUUUGAACGGAGGUUCCAGUCUGCUCAGAGACCUAUCAUGCAGGAAACCUGGAGAGGCAGCCCUGGGCCAGCCCCUCAUUCAAUAGUAACGUGGAGUAGGACUUAGGAAGUCUAUUCACAGCAGCAGCAGCAGAAUCCCAUUUUCUAACUGAUAUCAAGUGACCAGCAUUGUAAAAGUUGAAACAAAGUAUGGCCUCGAAUUUUCAGGAGUAUACAUAGUCUACUCAGGCUCCGGAGCCUGGCCGUCUGGUCAUCCACUCUGCACUUUCACAGCCUGUGACACUACGUGAAAACAGCUGUGCACACUCGGCUUAAUCUCCAUAAAAUGUGAAUAACCCCUAGCACUUAGAUACCCAGGAGUCCUAAAGAUCAAAUAAAGUAAUGGCUCUUCACGUGUGUUCUAAGACGCCACGCAAUCCUGAGAGGGUUUACUGGCCUCUGUCACUGUUAAUAUUAUGUUUGAGACAGAUAAAGAAUCAAAGCUCUGUGGGAAUGUUCUAGAGGCUGUUUCUGUCAAUGAACCAGAUCAGAGAACAAUCUGUAAGGAAACAAUGUAUCUUUCUGUCCAUUACCCUAGGGUGCUGUAAAGAACUAGACAGUAGUGUUAGGUGUAUGAGCGCUGGAGCAUCCUCGGCAAAAGCAGAAAUCUAAACACGACGUGUUUCAGCUAAUUCUCUCUUAUUAACAAAGCUCAGUCUGGCUGGGAAGGUGACAUCAUUGGAGAGUACCUCCAGCACUCUCUCUAACAAAGGGUAUUUAUGUGGCCAAUAGACUACUAAGAGGUCCAACCACGUUAAAUUCCUGCCUUUAGGAAAAAAGAGAGUCAGCAACAAGAUUCAAGUAUCACUUGUUAGAAAAAGAAAACAGGUAUUAUUUUGUAUGUCCUUGUUUGAUUUCUCCCAACCCCGAGGGCAUGCACUCCUUAUUUUAUAUAAGAAUGUUUUUCAGGCAUAAGCCAAAGUGCAGAUGCUUCAUCCCUUCUUAGAAGGAAGAACAAAAUAUUCAUGGGAGAAAAUACAGGGACGAAGAGUGGAGGAGGAACUGAAGAAAAGGUCAUCCAGAGACUGCCCUAGCUAGGGAUCCAUUCCAUAUCAGCCACCAAACCCAGUCCCUAUUGCUGAUGCCAAGAAGUGCUUGCUGACAGGAGAGUGAUAUGGAUGUCUCCUGAGAGGCUCUGCCAGCGCCUUACUGAUACAGAUGAGGAUGCUUGCAGCCAACCAUUGGACUGAGCACAGGGACCCCAAUGGAGAGGUUAGAGAAAAGACUGAAGGAGCCGAAGGGGUUUGCAACACCAUAGGAAGAACAACAAAAUCAACCAAUCAAACCCCCUCAGAGCUACCAGGUACUAAACCACCAACCAAUGAGUACACAUGGAGGGACCCAUGGCUCCAGCCACAUGUGUAGCAAAGGAUGGCAUUGCUCAGCAUUACUAGGAAAAGCUCUUAGUCCCGUGAAUGCUCCUUUCCCCAUGUAGGGGAAUGCCAGGGCGUUGAGGUGGGAGUGGGUGGGUAGAGGGAGGAUAUCCUCAUAGAAGCAGGGGGAGGAAGGAGGGGUAUGGGAGAAGGGAAAAGGAAAUAACAUUUGAAAUUUAAGGACAUAAAAUAUCCAAGAAAAAAAUUUAAAAAAAAAAGAAUGUUUUCCAAGAGUCAAUCAUAGCACCCACUGCCAAUGAGCUUCCACCUUGCCGGUGGGCAGUUGGCAAUGGGGACGUUAGCUGGGAAGGAAAUACAUUGAGUGAUACAGGAAAACGUCAAACCUCAUGAGUGUAAGGUCACUAAAGUAAACUCAAGGGAGCAAAAAAAAAAAAAUUCCUUUUCAACUACUUAAAACAUGUUCUUUACCUGCAGGGCUAGGUCAGCAAGACUCUCUGUAUGCACUAACAAAUAUGGUCUCCAAAUAUUCUCAUGUGCAGGGGGCUGACGCAGAGGCUUUCUCUUUCUAUGCUUAUGUGAACCUUAGACUGUGAGUCAAAUCCUCCACACAUAGUUUUUAACAAGCAGCAUCUUUUCCCGAAGAUUACAGACAUACACACACACACCUGUACAUGAACAUGUAUGCACAUGCACACGCAUUCAGAAAAAGCUACACAUAUAAUUAUAUAGAACUGACGUGUAUGUAUACAUAAGAUAGAGAGAAAGAGAUGAUAGAUAAAUAGAUAGAUAGAUAGAUAGAUAGAUAGAUAGAUAGAUAGAGUACAUAUAUAUAUAUAUAUAUAUAUAUAUAUAUAAAAUAUUCCAUCAAACUGGUUGUAAACAUUAGUUCAUAACACUCUUAUAAGAGAGUCUAAAGUCAAUCAAAUUUUUUAAAAUUAAUCAUAAAAGUACACAACCCUGAAUGGUUUCCAGGUUCCUACCACGUCCAAAUUCCAGUAUGUUACAAACAGAAGGGACUUACAAUCUUAGCGAGCCCAGUGAUUCCUAGCUACCUCGUGACUCACAUCCAAACACUGAUAGCCUAGCGGAAGUGCCUGGGGAUUACUUCCAUAAACUGAAGCCAGCUAAGAUCUUAAGAUGCACCUACUUAAAAGGAAACUAAAUUAAAAUAACUCUGACUCUAAACACCACAGUUUUGUCCAAACUGUUCCCAUGAAUGAACUUGCUUUGUGACACUUUGAUCAAAUCAAAACAUAGGCUGAAUACUGAGUUUACACGAUGGCUUCACCAGUGGUGAAAAGGUUCCCAAGAAUGGUCAUAGUAUCAACUUAGUGGGCUUCUGUAGCAAUUUAAAGUAAAAGACAACAGACAGUACAGUUUAGAACGCAUACCUUAAAAGCAUGUGUGAAGAAAAUCUCAUUUCAAAUUACAUACAUGUGUGCAUGUACUAUCGCUAUCAGUGUAAAAUGUACUUGACGUGUGUAAGAAAAGGGGGAGGGGUUAAAAGUGACUCUCAUAGAAAAAAAAGUGUACGAGGAUCAAAAGCCGCACAGCUGACACCUAUAUAUUUACGGAGCCAAUUAGUAUGCGGAAAGGUAAGGGCAAGUGUGGGAAAGGAAUCAUACCCUAGACUUCAUAUUCCUCCCUCUGAAGAGCAAUUCAGAUUGCCAUGGGAAAACUGGGCACGUCCACCUCUACUGCACACCUUUGCUAUACGCACUGGCACAUGUUUUGGUAAGUGUGGACACACAUGCAUCUCUACACACACAGCAGCACACAAACAGGCCCAUGCACACAUACCACUCAAAUGCAGGCACAUGCAUGCAUGAGCACCUGCAUGGACACGGAGACACACACACACACACACACACACACACACACACACACACGCACGCACUUGUACAGUUACUCUUAUCUCGUGCCUCAACCUCCCAGGUCCUGUAGUGGGAGACAAUGUUUCUUCCGCCUGGCUCACCCUUUCUUUCUUCCUAUAUCUUGUAGGGUGGGAAGGCAGGGAUCAGAAGGAAAGAGAGAGAGAGAACAUUUCAAUUUCUCACAGAUUUCUUGUUACUAACGCACCCGCCCCCAACCCGCCAGCUCUGUCUGCUGCGUUGAAGACUGAACUUGAGCAUUUUCAGACUUUCAGAAUAGUUUUCUUUCUACUUCCCUGGCUGAAUGGCUCGGUUUGAGUAAUUUUCUUUCUCCUGGGGUUGGUUGCUAAGAGACACUCUAUUACUUCUCUUUCUCUUAUGACCCGAUUACUGUGAUCAGCAAAGACAGUGUGCAGGCAACAUCCUGACAUGGCUCGUACAAGAUCGCUGGGCCUCUCAGAAAAUGAUGGACUUUCUUAACCCUCUCACUGCUGCAGAUCGAGAUCUGAUGAUCUCUUUUCCUCACCAAAUCAAAGGAUUUCUCCUCCUUUAAGUCAGGGGCUAUGGUGGGUCCCCAGUACCCAUCCCUGCAGCAACUGAUACAGCGCAAUGUACUUCUUUAAGAGUUCAGAGUUAACUAUGAGAACAACAGCUUCUUUCAUCACCAGUAGGAAAGAUCUGGAUUCCUCUCUCCAUCUUGGAUAAGGACUCCUUCCUGAGCAGGCCUGAAUUUCUCAUUUCUUUUCUACUAAAAACAGCCAGGCAAAAAUUAUACCUCUCCAUUUCCAAUCAUACCCAGCUCAGGGCAGAAAACAUGCAAAGCCCCAUGUGUUUGUUCAAUGUGUGUACGACUAAGCUCCACCCUUCGCUUGAGGAGGCUCUGCAGUUUGCCCACUCACCUACCUCAGCGUCAUAGCUUCAGGAAGGGUGAGGAGUUCCUUACAAAAGGAGACAUCAGAACAAACCGAGAAUUCAAGCCGCAAAAGAGUAAACGUAUAAAAUGGGAGUAAGGAUUUCAAUGGGGGUUGAAAUCACUAUCCAGGACUGAUAUUUCCUUCAUACAGCUGGCUAGGAAGAUGCAGCCACUUUAUUUGAUUAUCCUAUCAAUUUCUCCAUGGAAAAGUCAACCUGGAAUUAUUAAUUGGUCUCACAAGAUGGGGCUCUGGAGGUAGAAUCACCAAGCUUCUUGACCUGAAUGCAAUCAACAAAGCCCAAGUGUCAAAAAGAGAACUAAAAUCCAUGAGUUGUAAAGACAUACAGAAACACAUACGGUGUGAGGGCACAAGUGCACAAGUGCCCAUGCACACGUGCAUACACACUCGCGUGUGCAAGCGCGCACACACACACACACACACACACACACAGAGUUACAUUUCUAAACAAUGAACAUUUGAACAUUUUCAACAAACUUUUCUACAUUCAAAGCAAGUUCACAUGAGAUAAUCUGUAACAUUUGUAACACCAGGCCUACAGUUUCCUUCACCAUCAAUGUGAGCUUUUAUUACUCAAAUUUCACUUCUCAUUAAGGUUUUAAAUUUUAUCAAAAUUGGGAAUUGUUCUGACUGGGUUCUACUUUGACACAAUUUCAUAAACAAAUUUGGACCUCACCCAUUUUGAUACCUAACUACCUACAGGCAUACAGUUAUCCAAAGUUCAGUGUGUGCACAUUCAACAAAAACAUUUGACAGACUUUACAAGUCAGAACACUAGACUAUGGAAUUUACAUUUAGACACAGCUAUACUCAAAUCAAAGUCUCAGGAUUUUUAUAAGCCGCAAGACCUUGAAUAGCUUGUUUAUUAUCUGCCUGAGUUUCAAUUUAAUUUGUUUCAAAACAAGAAACGUUAGUGCCAAGUUGUAAUAAUGCUAUAAAAAUGAUAUAACAAGCAACUAGAACAUACUUAAUGAGAGCUCACUAGUAAACACUUAAGAAUGAGAACAUACACUGCUCGCAGAUUUUGGAGAGAGCACGAAAAGCAGUAGACCACAGGCCUGCUAACAGGGGACACAGAGUACACAUCCAAAGGUCAGUUUUACAACAUAACUAAAUUCCUGUUCUGUGAGAACAAUUUCUUUCCUUGUCUUUCAGGAGUAAAGCAUUGUUAAACAAUUUUAGGAGAUGAAUCGCACCUUCCUAAAGUUUCAAGUGGGGUGGGAGUGAAGUUGAGUUGUUCUGUCACACUGUGUUUACAACUGAGGAAGCUAGGGCAUUGUUGAGUGACCAGGUUGACUCUGGAUAUGUUCUGUCCAUUUUCACACAUUUCCACAACCUACCUGAUGUCCUGUUCAGCCUAUCUGACUGCAUGCCACCUCCCUGUCAGCAUGGCUAAGACAAGACAUUAGCAUUAGGCCUGGUAGUCUCCCCGCUCAAGCACCUUUAUAUUGAGCAUGCAUGAAGAAAAUCUAUGAGUACUGUUCAGAACCAAGUCAAACUUUAAAAGGCUCCUGGAGGUCAGGAGAAAUCAUUGCUCUUCAAAAACUGGGAUAAGAGGUGGCAGUAAGAGUGGGCUGAUGGCACUGAUCCACAUGGUACCCACCAUUCCCCAAGCUUCCAUCUCCAUUGUGGCUCAAGUUUUAUUCUCCUUCCCCUUCCAACACCAUUUCCACAUAAUGGCAUGACAACAUGUGCCAAGUUAGUUGGACAGAAAAAGGAAGAUUCUCUACAGUCCGCAGACAUAGUCUUAGGCAAGAUUUGAACCCAGUCUCAGCUUCAUUGUUUGGAAGGAUGUGAUGUCAUAAUGGCAAAUGCCAAUUUCACUAUAAAACUAAUAACAUUUAUAUAUGGAUUAGUUCAACACAGAAAAACUUGAUCGGGGGAAAAACUUUAAACUUACCAUUAGCAAUAUGUCUCCAAAAUGUCCUCUAUUUAGUGGAAUUAUCUCUGCAGCUUUAUAAAACAAUAAAAUCAUUCAGAUGCUAAGAGACCUGGGGUGUGUGUGUGUGUGUGUGUGUGUGUGUGUGUGUGUGUGUGUGUGGUUUCAAAUUAAUGAAUGGACAGAAAGGAAAAUUCUGGAACACAUAAAAAUCUGUAUCUAAAAUUUAGAUCCACAAAAUGCUAGGAGAAAUGAUCAAAGUUGUCAAGCACACUGUAACUUCUUAACUUUAUCAAACUCGUGCUUAAUCACCAGGCUUUGAGUUAUGUCUCUGUUUUCACAGGUUGCUUCAGAGAUUUUCCAACAUUUUUAUCCUCAUCAUGCCUCUGCUCCAGAUGUUUACAGAGGGAAAAUACUCUAAACACACCCAAGACCAAAUCACUAAAGUGUCAGAGGGCAACAGCUACUAUCGCUUCUGUGCUGUGAUCGCACAGGUUUCCAAAAAAUGAGAUUACUUUUCCAGCCAGCCUGUGGACUUGAUCCACUAUACGUAAGUCCUGGUGCUGUGUAACUCUAAUACGAAAAUUACAAGUGGUUGACACAAACUACAAGACAUUAUCCUAUUUUCAUAAAAAGAAAAAAAGAAGAUUCAAAGUACUAAGAGAGAGCUGAACUCACAAACAAGAUAACCUUGAUCAAGUGUUUAAAUAAGCCAAAACUUACCACACAGGCAAUUUUGAAACCUUUCUUGAACCUUACUUUUACUUACUGUAACUUGUUAUAAAUGCAAGUCCUCCCUCCUUUUUUUCACUAUACUUACUUGGGUUCUGAUUUAGGUUCCAAAUUAUUUAUUCAGCCAUAAGCUCCCCCUUUCCUAAUCAUUUCAAAAUAAAGAAUGUGUUUAACUUCGUUAUUUCCUUCCUGACUUCAAAGACUAUAUUAUUUUUGAAGCAUGCUCAAUGGGAUUUUCAAAUAUAUCAUGGAGAAUAAUCAACGACAAUGACACCAUGUAGGGCAGUCUCAUAAGUGAGAGCACCGUACACAGAAAAUGACCACCUGCUUCUUGUCACUUAACUGUUUGUAAACAGGAAUUCCUUGAGAGCUUGCAAAUUCUGCCUACGUUGAGUAACACUGCGUGCAGUUCUGGAACAUCAUACACGAUUUCCAGGACAGAGUAGAGCAAAUCAUUACAUCUUCAGAGGCACGGUAAUGCCUACCAAUGGAACUACCCAAAGGAAAGCAAAAAGAUAUAACAAGUUUGAGAGGCAUAAAGGGGUAAUGAGAAGAGCUUAGGCUGUGUGCUUUUGCAAUCUAUAGUGGCAGAACAAGGACCAAACAUAGACUUAGGUAGCGGCAGCUUCAAGUAGGUAUGGGAAAAUACCUUUAGUUUGCUAUCAAUAGUGGAUGACGCUCUGAAGGAAAUAUGCCCUGCCAUCAGAGCAAGGCACACCAAGGCUGCCACGAGCACGUCCCCAAGUGGGAAGCAUAUAACUAUUCUUAGGUCUAGAAACUUGAAGGAGUGUUCUAUGGGUUUUGCUUUUGCUAGGAAAUAGAGAUUAAAUAUCUGUUAUUAAAACUGUACAUAAACAUUUUAGUGUUUUGUCUCUCUUUUGUCAAGUAUCAGUACAUUGAAGAAUAACUGUAUACAUUUAAACAAAACCACCUUAAUAACCUCCAAUCAAUAUUUAUUCCUACGUAAUAGCUGAAUACUGCUUCUACACCUUGCCUUUGUCAUAGCUAAGGUCACUCCUGCUACGCUGGUACAACAUGAUCAAGAGAAACAAAGGGAGGAAGGGCUUUAUGUGCCUCACACUUCCAUCACUGUUCAUCAGAGCAGAAAGUUGGGCCUAGAACUCAACAGGACAGAAACCCUGAAGCAGGAGCUAAGGGGAGGGCAUGGAGGAAUGCUGCCUAUUGGUUUGCGUGGCCUGCUUUCAUAUAGAACCGAGGACCACAAGCCCAAGGAUAGCAUCACUCACAAUCAAUCAUUAUAUAAGAAAAUGGCCUUCUACAGCUAGAACAAACGGAGGCAUUUUCUCAGUCGAGGUUCCUCCUCUCAGAGGACACGCGCACAUAUCAAGCUGACGUGAAACCAGCCAGCCCAGCCAUGCGCUAUGCUCAGGAUACUCAGUGGUAGGCACUGGGUGUCAGCUUCCUUGGCCACAGCCACGUAGAAGAACUAAUACUAAAGUUGUGUCAUUUCAAACUAUCUGCAUUCUGUGGUGUCCUGUUGCUCUGUUAUUCCUUUUCUCCAGAUCUACAACUGGAGAGUAGAGAGAGGUCACAAGCAACAAUAUCUGAGAAACAACUGCUGAGAUCUGAAGUCUCAGGUUUUGGUUUUCACUGUUUUUUCCAGGGGCAGGUACUUAUAGCUUUAAGUAAUAACCAAAAGCGUGGCAGAAAUUGCAAACCUUCUAGACCAGCCUGCCUAUAUGUAGCUUUGUAUAAAGAAACUACUUAAUCCUUUCCUUGAUGCCCAUCCCAAAGUAUAAUAUAUUAUCAUAUUAGAAAUGACAGAAAGUAGCAAGUCUUGAUAACAGCUUUGAUUUUGCUGUUGAUAUCUGGCUAUGGUGUAAGGAUACAAUACUCCAGGACCUUGCACAUACAUGAUGGUCAAAUAUUCUCCACCUGAGUGGUAGGAGCUCAGCCACAAAUACAUGUUCCAGCUCUCAUACGAAUUCUGCCUACACAGGCAGAGUAGACAUGGACACCCUGCAACACAACACUCUAUAUUAUUAAGAGUUUAUAUCAAGCCACCACAAGCUUGGGCAAUCCUCUCCCAUUGACAAUAGACAAGGAGGCUCAGUUAGAAGAAUGGGAUCCACACUCAGGUAGGCAAUAGAUUCAGGGACAGUUGUUGGUGACCCUAUGUGAAGACCAAGUGGUACAUCUGCUAGAUAUGUGCAGGUGACCUAGAUCCACCCAGUGUGCAAGCUGUUUGGUUGGUGGUUCAAUCCACCCAGCAUAGGUCCAAGUUCAUUGACUCACAUGAUGGGAUACUGGAAAGAGACAAGGGGAUAUUAGGAUGUAAAGUAAAUAAAUAAUUUUUUUAAACAAGAGUUUAUAGACUAUAGUCUGUCAGUAAAAGUGAAAUAUGGAAUCGAUCAUUGUGUAGUGUUUUCUGCGUUAAUGGGGUUAUCAAGGAAAAAUGUCACAGUGGCAAUACUGGUGAUAAUCAAGUAUUUCAAGUUGAAGAUGAAUACCCAGAGCCAGGCAAUGACCAUCCGAAUGGGCAAGGGUGGAGAGAGGCAGGGACAUCUGUUUCGAUGUUACAGACAACAUCCUUUUAUCUGACAUUACACGGAAUAACCGUGUUGAAUAACUGUACACUUUAGGUUGUUGAAAGUUUCUAUCCCUUCCUUUAUUUUUUAGCUAGAAACGGCCCAUUCACUCUUCCCAAACUGGACUUAUGUUGGAUGCGGUGUUAGCAAAUUUCACUUGAACAUUGGGAAUGGAUGGCCUAGUAAAGUCAGAGAGUUCUGGCUUCAAUCCUUCAGUGCAGGGGUACCGAGGAAAAGGAACAAACCUCAGGGGUAUAAGACUCUCAAAGGCCUCACUAAAGGUCUAUGACUUGAGGCAGUACAGUACUGAGACAAGAGAACGGCCUAUUUUUAGUAUGUGAGACUGUUUGUGAGAACCACCAUGCCACUGAGCCUUGAUUUCUGUUCCUACUACACCUCGUUCAGCGAUAACUAAAAGACUUUCCCAUGAUCCUCUAUGACAAAUGGGAGCAGCUCAGGACGUGAAAGGUGAAGUAAACCUCUAACCUUCAGAGACCCAGAGAACGAGAAAGAUGCAUGCGAACAGGAAGGAAAAGGCACUGCCAGGGCCAUGGUGAACACUCGGGUCAGCCCUGAGAAACAGAAAGAUGAGGAAGUCCCCAUUCUCGGCCUCUAUUGCAAACCGCCAGCCUCUCUCACUUCCCUUGCCCACAGAGACAACUUUUGCCAGUCAAGGAAGAAGUAGUUUCAUAAACAAUGAUCAGAAGAAGAGAUGAGGGUGGGGUAGGAGGGCAAAAUGAACAUGGCAACUGACGUUUCACUGAAAGGGCAAUGCCCAGCGCUCAAAGGACACGGGUUUGUCCCUUCGAUGUCCCUAGACUGCUUUAUAAAACAGUAAAGACAGAAACUGUGAGCUAGGCAGAUUUACUAGACUCUUUGACCCAGGACACAAAAGGUUUAAGACGAUCCAGAGAAGUGAACUUGACCUGACCAGUAAACAUUUCAAAUAUGACAGCUGCCUGGAGAGCCACAUAAGAAAGAUGUGCUGAGGAGUAAGGCUGGCUUCCUAUACUUAUUAACUGCCAUGCUGCCGCGGGAACCACUGUGUAACACAGUAGCAUAUGGGGAACAUUAAGCAGUGUGUUUUCCAAAGCCUCUCUGUCCAAGUGGGUGAGGCAAUGGCCUCCUUGAAUCAAAACCUAUUGCUCCUUAAGGCUUGCAUUGCUGCCUUGAUUAAACCCAGCAGCGGGCUCCAGUUGAGGGGACAAUUCUUCUCUUCUGAGGGGAGGUAGAACAGAGUAAUUGCCAGAUGUUUGCAAUUUUAGCUAUAAAAAGAUGGCUGCUUUCCAUUCCUGAGUAUGUUGGAUCUUUUUUUUUUUUCUCUUUCUACCCAAGCUAUUGUGGUUCACUUAAAUAGGCCACUGUGCUGAUGAAUCAUCACUCAAAACUACAAUAAUGGAAGCAGAAAAAUAUGGCAUUUUAAAUUCCCAUGUAAGAGGAAUAAAUUAAAAUGUACAGGUACUGGUUAUGUGCUAAGCAACAGGAAAGCAUGCUAUUGCUUAAGAUGCUCGUUUGAGUCAGAAGAGCUGUGCGUGGGUCUCCCCUUGACUUCUUCUGACCAUCAGUGGGUAGGCACCAAUGCCUUACCAGCAAACCUCGGGCUGUCUACCUGCAAAGUGGAGGUAAGAAUCCCUUCCUGGCCUAAUUCUCAGCAGGAAGUCUCUGUGGAGAUCCAUUCCUAUCCUAUCUUAUAAGCCAGACAGAGUCCACGGGAGAUGUGCAAUUCUUUCUUAAGUAAAAAAAGCAAGAAAAAUAUGGAUGUGUUUCAAAGCCAUAUAUUAUAAGUAUACAUACAUGUAUUCCGGGUGGUUUCUAAUUAUGAAACUCCAUGACUAGCACCAAAUACCAAGUCCUCUUGUCAUAUACUGUGCAUGAAAUAUGGGAGAUGAGGAGAAGGAAAUGGAAACCUGGUUAUUAUUUAAGCAACACUAACAUAACUCAUUUGGAAGUAGUGACUACUUGGGAAGGGCAUGCCAUCUAAGUACUUGAGGAUCUGGGGACACGUGUGGACCAAGUGGAGAUUAGAGACUGAAUCUCCUAGGAAUUGAGAACAUAUCACAGCAGACACAUAUCCCUGCCAUAACUCAUAGAGAAACAAAACCCAAACCAAUUUGAAAGUCCCAGGUAUGCAGCACAGGCAAAAGAGUACUCCAGAAGAUUCGCCUUAAAACUGCCAGGAGGAGGCCUAUUGUGCCAGCUGUGAUUGUAAACAUACAGAAGAGUGUAAUGGACUAAGAGCCCCAGAGGAACACUCAUGUUUUAAUUUUAAUAAAGGCGAAGACGCUCAUAGCACCUUUCACUGACUGCCAUUCCAUACC
Molecule: non-coding RNA, 13182 nt
Organism: Rattus norvegicus (Norway rat)
Lineage: Eukaryota; Metazoa; Chordata; Mammalia; Rodentia; Muridae
Source: RefSeq, a predicted model, not a curated record